GACGAACGCUGGCGGCGUGCUUAACACAUGCAAGUCGAACGGAAAGGCCCUGCGUUUGUGGGGUGCUCGAGUGGCGAACGGGUGAGUAACACGUGAGUAACCUGCCCUUGACUUUGGGAUAACUUCAGGAAACUGGGGCUAAUACCCGAUAGGAGCUCCUGCUGCAUGGGGUUGGUUGGAAAGUGUCGGCGGUAGGGGAUGGACUCGCGGCUUACGAGCUUGUUGGUGGAGUAGUUGCUUUCCAAGGCUUUGACGGGUAGCCGGCAUGAGAGGGUGACCGGCGACAUUGGGACUGCGAUACGCAGCAGAAGCGUACGGGAGGCAGCAGGGGGGAAUAUUGCACAAUGGGCGGAAGCGUGAUGCAGCAACGCCGCGUGCGGGAUGACGGCCUUCGGGUUGUAAACCGCUUUCGACUGUGACGAAGCGUGAGUGACGGUAAUGGGUAAAGAAGCACCGGCUAACUACGUG
RNAcentral lists this ribosomal RNA (468 nucleotides) under uncultured bacterium. RNAcentral's name for it is "partial 16S ribosomal RNA". It matches the Rfam family "Bacterial small subunit ribosomal RNA", at positions 28 to 507 of the family's 1533-position model. The record is from RNAcentral.